AAUUCUGAUGCAAUCCUUGGCUGCGAGCUUUCACAACACACACACUUAGUCAAGUAUUAGAAUGUGAACCGUUUGCGGCGUGUAACAGCGUCGGAAAUAUACAACUUUCAGCAACGGAUCUCUUGGCUCUCGCAUCGAUGAAGAACGCAGCGAAAUGCGAUAAGUAAUGUGAAUUGCAGAAUUCAGUGAAUCAUCGAAUCUUUGAACGCACCUUGCGCUCCUUGGUAUUCCGAGGAGCAUGCCUGUUUGAGUGUCAUGAAAUUCUCAACUGCCUUUUGUGGGCUUUUUGGCUCCUACGAGGGUGAAGUUGGAUAUGGAGGAUGAUGUUGCUGGCGCUCUUCAGUGAGCUUGUCGGCUCCUCUUGAAUGCAUGUGCCUUGAUUGCAAAGCGACUCCGAUGUGAUAAUUAUCUACGUUGGACGUUGAGGUUUUGCUUAGGGCACCGAUGGAGUGCGUGAUGGCGUCUUCCGAGACGGCACCGCUUGAUAAAUUUGACCUCAAAUCAGGUAGGACUACCCGCUGAACUUAAGCAUAUCAAUAAGCGGAGGCGUGAUAAUUGUCUACGUCGUGGAGA
RNAcentral lists this ribosomal RNA (573 nucleotides) under Phellodon ellisianus. RNAcentral describes it as "eukaryotic LSU rRNA". The stretch from base 103 to 256 matches the Rfam family "5.8S ribosomal RNA". The record is from RNAcentral. Lineage: Eukaryota; Fungi; Basidiomycota; Agaricomycetes; Thelephorales; Thelephoraceae.